CCUUCAAGUAAGCUGCAGCCUGAGAAGCAAAUAACUGCAGUAAAAUUCAAAGAAGAAAUGCACUGCAGAAUCCAGCAAUCUGGUCAAACUAUUCUAGAAGAGAAUAAGGUAAUAAUCAAUUAAGUAGGCUAUUAAUUACUUAGAUUCAUGUUUAACUAUGGAUAUAAAAGAAUGACUAUGGAGCAGCAAAUAUAGCCUAUGUGUGGGUCCUGAGCAGCAUCCAGAUCAGGUGACUCAUAUCAUGCCAUACCACAUUAAGUCUUCAGAUAAGUGUGGCUGCUGGUAGGAGCUAGUAGAGUAUGUGAAGGGUGGUUCUGACUGAAAAACUGGGGCUGGGCAUCCCUUGGUGGAGCAUGUUAGAAAUAUCUUUUGUCCCUCAGAUCUCUGAUAGAGUGUACAGUGCAACUCUCAGGUCUGGGUGACUAAAACCUGGCUGGAACUGAGUCAGCACUUCUGUGGUGAUGCACAAACUGGGCAGGACCCAUUGCCACUUACCAUAGUGCUGAGAAACCUCAGCCAAAAACUCCAGGGGUUGACAAGGCUGGAGGACACUUGCUGUAAGUAAUGAGGAGCUCCAAACAAUUCCUGAUUUAAUAAAUCGUUGGAAACUUUUGUAAUGCACAGUUUAAUAGAAUUUAAAGAUGAGAAAGGAUUAAAUGAAUAACAGGAAGCAUCCUGCAAGAAUUUCCCCCAGAGCACUGUGGGCGAGGGAAUGAAUGUGAGAGAGGGAGCACACAUUUUGCAGUAGAAGAAUGCAUGCCCGUAAGGGGUGGAGCAUGCUUCUGCUCGCUGCAUGGCUCACAAGCACUUCCGGGAGAAACCGAGGCUAGCAGGGGAGAGGGUGGGCAACCUCCCGUUGCAUUUGAUUCGUGAGUCACUGAGAUGCAUUUUGUUUCACUUCCUUCUUUUCGCCUCUCCACCCCUGUAAUAGAGCCCUCCUCUGUCACUUCGAAAGUAAGACCCGUUUUGCUGGGUAGCUG
Molecule: long non-coding RNA, 980 nt
Organism: Pezoporus occidentalis (night parrot)
Lineage: Eukaryota; Metazoa; Chordata; Aves; Psittaciformes; Psittacidae
Exons: 2
Source: RefSeq, a predicted model, not a curated record